UGGGGUAUCGCCAAGCGGUAAGGCACCGGUUUUUGAUACCGGCAUUCCCUGGUUCGAAUCCAGCACCCCAGCCA
Molecule: transfer RNA, 74 nt
Filed under: Klebsiella pneumoniae
Lineage: Bacteria; Pseudomonadati; Pseudomonadota; Gammaproteobacteria; Enterobacterales; Enterobacteriaceae
Description: tRNA-Gln
Rfam family: tRNA
About the family: Transfer RNA (tRNA) molecules are approximately 80 nucleotides in length. Their secondary structure includes four short double-helical elements and three loops (D, anti-codon, and T loops).
Source: RNAcentral